This is a long non-coding RNA of Bombina bombina (fire-bellied toad), 511 nucleotides long. RefSeq lists it as uncharacterized. The transcript has 4 exons. The record is from RefSeq and is a predicted model, not a curated record. NCBI's taxonomy places the organism in Eukaryota, Metazoa, Chordata, Amphibia, Anura, Bombinatoridae.
UUUGAGUCUAACUUACUUCCUGUACAGAGGCAGAAGCUACAGGAAGGCAGAAAUUGCGCCAAAAAUUGAAUGAGUCUAUACAGAUUUUACAAUGUGAGGAGAGAGGCCAUACUGUGAAAAGAGCUCACUUCACCUCAGCUGUUUUCGCAAAAGAAAUGCUAUCACUAGAUGAUGUCCACUCAAUACAAGAACACUGUGUGGUGUAUGAUGUGUUGUACAAAGUUUGCGUAGAAGUGGGAGACUACAAGCUUAUCGGGACGACUUACAGAUUGCAGAGAACUUGAUCAAACGCCUUCAUGCAACUAUUCCUUGAUGGGAACUUGUGACAUCAUGCCAAGUGUUUUCCAGUUGGAGUACGUGUGUUUUGUGUAACUGCUGCUCUCACAACUUGUGUACCCGUGGAAAGGGAUUGUCCUUGGCGUUCCUGUUUGAACUAUAAGCCUGGCUAUUUAAUAAAAUGCUAUUAAAGUUUCUGAUAUCUGUUCUAUUAAUAAAGUUGUCACUGAUCUUA